RNAcentral lists this ribosomal RNA (450 nucleotides) under uncultured bacterium. RNAcentral's name for it is "partial 16S ribosomal RNA". It matches the Rfam family "Bacterial small subunit ribosomal RNA", at positions 354 to 796 of the family's 1533-position model. The record is from RNAcentral.
GUGGGGAAUUUUGGACAAUGGGCGCAAGCCUGAUCCAGCAAUGCCGCGUGCAGGAAGAAGGCCUUCGGGUUGUAAACUGCUUUUGUACGGAACGAAACGGUCCUGGUUAAUACCUGGGGCUAAUGACGGUACCGUAAGAAUAAGCACCGGCUAACUACGUGCCAGCAGCCGCGGUAAUACGUAGGGUGCGAGCGUUAAUCGGAAUUACUGGGCGUAAAGCGUGCGCAGGCGGUGCUGUAAGACAGGCGUGAAAUCCCCGGGCUAAACCUGGGAAUUGCGCUUGUGACUGCAGUGCUGGAGUACUGCAGAGGGGGAUGGAAUUCCGCGUGUAGCAGUGAAAUGCGUAGAUAUGCGGAGGAACACCGAUGGCGAAGGCAGUCCCCUGGGCCUGUACUGACGCUCAUGCACGAAAGCGUGGGGAGCAAACAGGAUUAGAUACCCCUGUAGUCC